This 497-nucleotide ribosomal RNA is filed under the name uncultured bacterium. RNAcentral's name for it is "partial 16S ribosomal RNA". It matches the Rfam family "Bacterial small subunit ribosomal RNA", at positions 28 to 507 of the family's 1533-position model. The record is from RNAcentral.
GAUGAACGCUGGCGGCGUGCCUAAUACAUGCAAGUCGAGCGAACGGACGAGAAGCUUGCUUCUCUGAUGUUAGCGGCGGACGGGUGAGUAACACGUGGAUAACCUACCUAUAAGACUGGGAUAACUUCGGGAAACCGGAGCUAAUACCGGAUGAUAUUUUGAACCGCAUGGUUCAAAAGUGAAAGACGGUCUUGCUGUCACUUAUAGAUGGAUCCGCGCUGCAGUAGCUAGUUGGUAAGUUAACGGGUUACCAAGGCAACGAUGCAUAACAGACCUGAGAGGGUGAUAGGCCACACUGGAACUGAGACAGGGUCCAGACUCCUGAGGGAGGCAGCAGUAGGGAAUCUUCCGCAACGGGCGAAAGCAUGACGGAGCAACGCCGCGUGAGUGAUGAAGGUCUUCGGAUCGUAAAACUCUGUUAUUAGGGAAGAACAUAUGUGUAAGUAACUGUGCACAUCUUGACGGUACCUAAUCAGAAAGCCACGGCUAACUACGUG